CAGGUGGGCACUCCUGAGGCUGCAGAGCGGAGGAGACCACCAACACUGCCCACACUUGCCCACAUCCCUGGCCCAAGAGGAAACUGUAUAAGGCCUCUGGGCUCCCGUGGGGGAGGGCCCAGGAGCGGCAGGACCCCUGCCUGAGACACCGCCGGAACCUGAAGGAAACAGACCGGAUAAACAGUUCUCUGCACCCAAAUCCCGGGGGAGGGAGAGCUAAACCUUCAGAGAGGCAGAAAAGCCUGGGAAACCAGAAGAGACUGCUCUCUGCACACACAUCUCGGACGCCAGAGGAAAACACCAAAGGCCAUCUGGAACCCUGAUGCACUGAGGCUCCUGGAGGGGGCGGUGCAGAUCUUCCUGGUUGCUGCCGCCAUAGGGAGACCGAGGGCAGCACCCCGUGAGUGAACUUGAGCCUCAGGACCACAGGUAAGACCAACUUUUCUGCUGCAAGUGACCUGCCUGGUGAACUUAAGACACAGGCCCACAGGAACAGCUGAAGACCUGUAGAGAGGAAAAACUACACGCCCGAAAGCAGAACACUCUGUCCCCAUAACUGAUUGAAAGAGAGGAAAACAA
This 579-nucleotide long non-coding RNA is filed under the name Rattus norvegicus (Norway rat). RNAcentral's name for it is "long non-coding RNA NONRATT009388". Lineage: Eukaryota; Metazoa; Chordata; Mammalia; Rodentia; Muridae. The record is from RNAcentral.